This 253-nucleotide ribosomal RNA is filed under the name uncultured bacterium. Its description in RNAcentral is "partial 16S ribosomal RNA". It matches the Rfam family "Bacterial small subunit ribosomal RNA", at positions 524 to 776 of the family's 1533-position model. The record is from RNAcentral.
UACGUAGGUGGCGAGCGUUGUCCGGAUUUACUGGGCGUAAAGAGCGCGCAGGCGGUCGUACAAGUCGCGUGUGAAAGCCCCCGGCUCAACUGGGGAGGGUCACGCGAUACUGUUCGACUCGAAGGCAGGAGAGGGAAGUGGAAUUCCCGGUGUAGCGGUGAAAUGCGCAGAUAUCAGGAGGAACACCGAUGGCGAAGGCAGCUCACUGGGACGGUACUGACGCUGAGACGCGAAAGCGUGGGGAGCAAACAGG